RNAcentral lists this ribosomal RNA (400 nucleotides) under uncultured fungus. RNAcentral's name for it is "SSU rRNA". It matches the Rfam family "Eukaryotic small subunit ribosomal RNA", at positions 827 to 1228 of the family's 1831-position model. Lineage: Eukaryota; Fungi. The record is from RNAcentral.
CCUGUGGUUCUGUUUUGUUGGCUUCUGGAACCGCGGUAAUGAUUAAUAGGGAUAGUUGGGGGCAUUUGUAUCUCGUAGCUAGAGGUGAAAUUCUUGGAUUUACGAGCGACAAACCUAUGCGAAAGCAUUUGCCAAGGAUGUUUUCAUUGAUCAAGAACGAAAGUUAGGGGAUCGAAGAUGAUUAGAUACCAUCGUAGUCUUAACCAUAAACGAUGCCGACUAGGGAUUGGGCGAUGUUGUUUCUGACUCGUCCAGCACCUUCAGAGAAAUCAAAGUUUUUGGGUUCCGGGGGGAGUAUAGUCGCAAGGCCGAAACUUAAAGGAAUUGACGGAAGGGCACCACCAGGAGUGGAGCCUGCGGCUUAAUUUGACUCAACACGGGGAAACUCACCAGGUCCAGA